Molecule: ribosomal RNA, 267 nt
Filed under: Triticum aestivum (bread wheat)
Lineage: Eukaryota; Viridiplantae; Streptophyta; Magnoliopsida; Poales; Poaceae
Description: partial small subunit ribosomal RNA
Source: RNAcentral
AUGGCUUUAGGGCGUCCGAGUUUUGUCGCGGCCAUCAGUUCAGAUACCUGCGUCAUUGUGUAUGUUGCAACCACGGCCAUUUGUGUCACUGCGUGCUCCGUCACUGGCCUCCUACGCAUCGUGACCCCUGCCGCACUCCUUCCUCUCCCUGAAGCUGCUCGUACCCUCCCAGGCUUGAUAUCCUACUGCAGCGAUGAGCUCCUGUACAUCACCGAAGUUCCAUACCCGCUCAAUGGCACCAACACGAGGAUGCAGCAGCUAGGCUGA